Oncorhynchus gorbuscha (pink salmon) is the source of this 1534-nucleotide RNA transcript. RefSeq lists it as uncharacterized. The record is from RefSeq and is a predicted model, not a curated record. The transcript has 2 exons. Lineage: Eukaryota; Metazoa; Chordata; Actinopteri; Salmoniformes; Salmonidae.
GCCAAGCCCGGACGACGCUGGGACUCCCAAUCACGGCCGCAUGUGAUACAGCCUGGAUUCGAACCAGGUUACUGUAGUGACGCCUCUUGCACUGAGAUGUAGUGCCUUAGACCGCAGCGUCACACGGGAGCCCCUUAUGCUACAUACUUGUAACCUUGUAUCAAAAACAUUUAGUUGUUGAUUGUUUGAUCAUGUGUGCACUUGAUGUGGACCCUAGACCCCGUCAUUCUCCCUCCAUAAAACACUCCCUAAUAAAAUAUCGCGUCACUUCCUUGCCGAUCCCUUAGAAAAAUAAAUAUUAGAAAGGGACGAACGACGCUGGAAAAGAGCGAGAAGAAGCCAGAAUAAAGGAUAAAGAAGAAAAUACCGAUGAAAAGAGGAAUAGUGAGGCGGGAGGAAGAGAAACACGAGCGUAAUCAAACUGUCAUGCCACUCCACAAGUCGGCCCACAAGGCGCCUCGCCUGGACCCCACCAUGAUCUCAGCUCCGCUGGGGGACUUCCGCCACACCAUGCACAUCGGGAGGGGAGGAGAUGCUUUCGGUGACACCUCCUUCCUGGCUACUGUUGGCCCCAGCUCUGACCCUGGGUCUCCGGGUGCCACGGCAACAAACGACUCAAUGGCGCCCGUUGAUUCCGAGAUGCCACUUAACCACACUGAUGAUGUCACAGAUGGCUUCGGAAGCCCACUGAACAGUGAGCUUCAGCAUUCCGAGUCGGUGUCGUCUUUCACACUCGAUAUGGAUUUCGACCUGGGCCCAUCCAUCAUGGGUGAUGUGCUGGGGGUGAUGGAUGGACUGGGGCUGGACUCAGACUGGACUAGGACUCGCGCUAAUGAGGAAGACGUCUCCAGUCCAAGCAAAAGUCUUGUCGUUGAAGUGGAGAAUUUUAAAAUGGCGGCGGAGGAUCAGUCUGUCAGCAUAAGGAACGAGCUGAAUGAGAAGAAGCUUUUAGAGAUCGAGGGAGAUGAGGUGGGACAUGGAAGGAUAAUAGAGGGGACUGGAGGGAUCAAGGCCAAAGGCCAGAGGCCGAAGGUGAGAUUCAGCGACAAACGAGAGGAGAUCAUUCGCCAAGCGUCAGAGGAGGAAGGUCAGGGGUUAGAUGUUGAGGAAGAGUAUGUGAGUCCCACCGAGGAAGAUCGAGAGAGAGGGAACAACGUCAUCAGCUUGCCAGUCGUGGGAAUAGAGGUACAGCCCACCAACCACAAGGCUGAUUCAACUUCCAGUCCCGCCUCCUCACACAGCUCAGGGUAUGAGGGUGUCACCCCAUUGGACAGGAGGAGGGUUGACAACUGUCACUCAGAGACUGAUUCCGAGGAGGAGGAGGAGGAGGAAGGGGAGACAAUGGACGGGGCUACACAUUUGAAGAUGAGUUUGAUGAUGAAAUCGGCCUAUAAGAGUGCUAUGGGGCAUCUUACGUCAAUCAAUGAGAGGAUCAAAUGGUUCCUCGUUGGUUGUGAACUAUGUACAGUUUACUUCCUCUAUGCAUUGUUCUGCAAAUUAUCAUUCAAAAGGGAGGUUUAACCAAAGCUAAGUA